AACGAACGCUGGCGGCAUGCCUAACACAUGCAAGUCGAACGAUGCCUUCGGGCAUAGUGGCGCACGGGUGAGUAACGCGUGGGAACCUGCCCUUUGGUACGGAAUAACUCCGGGAAACUGGAGCUAAUACCGGAUGUGUCCCCCGGGACAAAGAUUUAUCGCCACGGGAUGGGCCCGCGUAGGAUUAGCUUGUUGGUGGGGUAACGGCCUACCAAGGCUACGAUCCUUAGCUGGUCUGAGAGGAUGAUCAGCCACACUGGGACUGAGACACGGCCCAGACUCCUACGGGAGGCAGCAGUGGGGAAUAUUGGACAAUGGGCGCAAGCCUGAUCCAGCAAUGCCGCGUGAGUGAUGAAGGCCUUCGGGUUGUAAAGCUCUUUCGCACGCGACGAUGAUGACGGUAGCGUGAGAAGAAGCCCCGGCUAACUUCGUG
This 433-nucleotide ribosomal RNA is filed under the name uncultured bacterium. RNAcentral's name for it is "partial 16S ribosomal RNA". It matches the Rfam family "Bacterial small subunit ribosomal RNA", at positions 29 to 507 of the family's 1533-position model. The record is from RNAcentral.